GCUGACGACCGGCGCACGGGUGCGUAACGCGUAUAGAAUCUACCUUGUACUAGGGGAUAGCCCUUGGAAACGAAGAUUAAUACCCUAUAGUAAGUAUUUAUGGCAUCAUUUAUACUUUAAAGGUUACGGUACAAGAUGACUAUGCGUCCUAUUAGUUUGUUGGUGAGGUAACGGCUCACCAAGACUUCGAUAGGUAGGGGCCCUGAGAGGGGGAUCCCCCACACUGGUACUGAGACACGGACCAGACUCCUACGGGAGGCAGCAGUGAGGAAUAUUGGACAAUGGAGGCAACUCUGAUCCAGCCAUGCCGCGUGCAGGAUGACGGCCCUAUGGGUUGUAAACUGCUUUUAUGUAGGAAGAAACACUCUCACGUGUGAGAGCUUGACGGUACUAC
RNAcentral lists this ribosomal RNA (394 nucleotides) under uncultured Bacteroidota bacterium. RNAcentral's name for it is "bacterial SSU rRNA". It matches the Rfam family "Bacterial small subunit ribosomal RNA", at positions 87 to 481 of the family's 1533-position model. Lineage: Bacteria; Pseudomonadati; Bacteroidota. The record is from RNAcentral.